UAGGGAAUCUUCCGCAAUGGACGAAAGUCUGACGGAGCAACGCCGCGUGAGUGAUGAAGGCUUUCGGGUCGUAAAACUCUGUUGUUAGGGAAGAACCAGUGCUAGUUGAAUAAGCUGGCACCUUGACGGUACCUAACCAGAAAGCCACGGCUAACUACGUGCCAGCAGCCGCGGUAAUACGUAGGUGGCAAGCGUUAUCCGGAAUUAUUGGGCGUAAAGCGCGCGCAGGUGGUUUCUUAAGUCUGAUGUGAAAGCCCACGGCUCAACCGUGGAGGGUCAUUGGAAACUGGGAGACUUGAGUGCAGAAGAGGAAAGUGGAAUUCCAUGUGUAGCGGUGAAAUGCGUAGAGAUAUGGAGGAACACCAGUGGCGAAGGCGACUUUCUGGUCUGUAACUGACACUGAGGCGCGAAAGCGUGGGGAGCAAACA
RNAcentral lists this ribosomal RNA (428 nucleotides) under uncultured bacterium. RNAcentral describes it as "bacterial SSU rRNA". It matches the Rfam family "Bacterial small subunit ribosomal RNA", at positions 355 to 774 of the family's 1533-position model. The record is from RNAcentral.